CCUACGGGAGGCAGCAGUGGGGAAUUUUGGACAAUGGGCGCAAGCCUGAUCCAGCAAUGCCGCGUGAGUGAAGAAGGCCUUCGGGUUGUAAAGCUCUUUUGUCAGGGAAGAAACGGUCUACUCUAAUACAGUGGGCUAAUGACGGUACCUGAAGAAUAAGCACCGGCUAACUACGUGCCAGCAGCCGCGGUAAUACGUAGGGUGCAAGCGUUAAUCGGAAUUACUGGGCGUAAAGCGUGCGCAGGCGGUUAUAUAAGUCAGAUGUGAAAUCCCCGGGCUCAACCUGGGAACUGCAUUUGAGACUGUAUGGCUAGAGUGUGUCAGAGGGGGGUAGAAUUCCACGUGUAGCAGUGAAAUGCGUAGAUAUGUGGAGGAAUACCGAUGGCGAAGGCAGCCCCCUGGGAUAACACUGACGCUCAUGCACGAAGACGUGGGAGGACGAACAGAGUAGUAUACCUACGGUAGUACCGACCGACCCGUAAACCGAACGUAGUCUACUACGUUAGGUUCGGGUACGUUAA
Molecule: ribosomal RNA, 521 nt
Filed under: uncultured bacterium
Lineage: Bacteria
Description: bacterial SSU rRNA
Rfam family: Bacterial small subunit ribosomal RNA
Source: RNAcentral